RNAcentral lists this long non-coding RNA (236 nucleotides) under Lathyrus oleraceus (garden pea). Its description in RNAcentral is "Pisum sativum (pea) long non-coding RNA (PSAT_LNC004855)". The record is from RNAcentral. Lineage: Eukaryota; Viridiplantae; Streptophyta; Magnoliopsida; Fabales; Fabaceae.
UGUGUUGAGUAUAUGGUGUGUUUUGGUGAAAUGUUUGGAUUAAGAAACAAUAGGUAAAAAAAUGCUUGUAAAUAAGUUCCAGAAAAUAAACGGACAAAAGCAAGAUAAAAAUGUAAAUAACAAAGCAAAUAAAAUGACUUGGUAAGUUAAAUUGUUGGAAGAUAAACGUGGAAGCAAGUAUACCUUUUUGCAGGAAUGAACUUUUUUCUCUUAGACGCUUUAUACUUUGAGUAUUU